This 359-nucleotide long non-coding RNA is filed under the name Ananas comosus (pineapple). Its description in RNAcentral is "long non-coding RNA (ACOM_LNC020042)". Lineage: Eukaryota; Viridiplantae; Streptophyta; Magnoliopsida; Poales; Bromeliaceae. The record is from RNAcentral.
AAUUAUUCUUAUUUUCAUCUAAUUCCAUCCCUUUACAUGGACUCUUAAAUUCAAAUUUUCAAUUUAAAAUUUAAAAUCUAAAUUUGAAAUUUAAAAUUUAAAAUUUGAAUAUUUGAAAAUUAUUUGAAAAUUUAAAAUUUAAUUUUGAAUUUUAAAAAUUUGAAAUAUGUAAUUAGAAAGUUACAACUUAUAUUUUAAAUUUUAAAUAUUAGAUUUUUAAAUUUGAUUCUAAAAUUUUUAAAUAUAAAUUUUAUCUUUGAAAUUUAUUAUUUUGAAUUUUGAAAUCUAAAAUUUUAGGUUUAAUAUUUAAAUUGAGAAGUUAAAUUUAAGAUUCAAAAUUUGAACUUGAAUUUAAUAUU